AUUCCAGCUCCAAUAGCGUAUAUUAAAGUUGUUGCGGUUAAAAAGCUCGUAGUUGGAUUUCUGCCGAGGAUGACCGGUCCGCCCUGUGGGUGUGCAUCUGGCUCAGCCUUGGCAUCUUCCUGAAGAACGUAGCUGCACUUGACUGUGUGGUGCGGUAUUUAGGACAUUUACUUUGAGGAAAUUAGAGUGUUUCAAGCAAGCGCACGCUUUGAAUACAUUAGCAUGGAAUAAUAAGAUAGGACCUCGGUUCUAUUCUGUUGGUUUCUAGGACUAAGAUAAUGAUUAAUAGGGACAAUUGGGGGCAUUCGUAUCGCGGUGUCAGAGGUGGAAUUCUUGGAUUACUGCGCGACGAACUACUGCGAAAGCAUUUGCCAAGGAUGUUUUCAUUA
Molecule: ribosomal RNA, 389 nt
Filed under: Dinophyceae sp.
Lineage: Eukaryota; Dinophyceae
Description: partial small subunit ribosomal RNA
Rfam family: Eukaryotic small subunit ribosomal RNA
Source: RNAcentral